This 442-nucleotide ribosomal RNA is filed under the name Campylobacter gracilis. RNAcentral describes it as "bacterial SSU rRNA". It matches the Rfam family "Bacterial small subunit ribosomal RNA", at positions 29 to 486 of the family's 1533-position model. Lineage: Bacteria; Pseudomonadati; Campylobacterota; Epsilonproteobacteria; Campylobacterales; Campylobacteraceae. The record is from RNAcentral.
AGUGAACGCUGGCGGCGUGCCUAAUACGUGCAAGUCGAACGGAAUUUAAAAGAGCUUGCUCUUUUAAAUUUAGUGGCGCACGGGUGAGUAAUAUAUAGCUAAUCUGCCCCUUGCUGGAGGACAACAGUUAGAAAUGACUGCUAAUACUCCAUACUCCUUUUUACCAUAAGAUAAAUCGGGAAAGAAUUUCGGCAAGGGAUGAGACUAUAUCGUAUCAGCUAGUCGGUGGGGUAACGGCCUACCGAGGCUAUGACGCGUAACUGGUCUGAGAGGAUGAUCAGUCACAUUGGAACUGAGACACGGUCCAAAUUCCUACGGGAGGCAGCAGUAGGGAAUAUUGCGCAAUGGGGGAAACCCUGACGCAGCAACGCCGCGUGGAGGAUGACACUUUUCGGAGCGUAAACUCCUUUUGUUAGGGAAGAAUAAUGACGGACCUAACGAA